AAAUUAGUUAAAUCUUAAGAUUUCUGGAAGAGAAGUGGUGGGUUGUUUGUGUUUUGGAAAACUGGUUUUUACAAAUAAUGUUGAAUUUGAAUAUGAAUUUCAGUAAGCCCUGUGCUCCUUUGCAAUCACAUAGGACAAAGGGGAGUUUCCUUUUGGAAGUAAUCUGGAAACGCCCUAUAUUCCACACAGACCAAAGCGACCUCUUACAACAGAAAAAUAAAAUGUUUGGACAGACUUGUGGUAAAGGAGGCUCUUCUUAUAAAACCUUCAGUCCCUCUCUGGAUUCCUUCAAACCUGUUAACCAAGCUUUGGUCUCUCUAUAUACUGUUCAGACAAAACCUGGUACCAAAGGUCCAUAAAGAGGGUUUCUUUUUCCUCAAAGAAGGGAGAAGAACAAACCAUAUGCCACUGACUACAAACAGAAUCAGACAUGAUGUACCUCAUUAGGAACAUUGCAGUAAGCUGAUCUAGGUGGAAGAAACUAUGCUGGGUAUUUUUACUGGCUAUGUCGUAACUUCUCCUCUCUUGAACCUGUAAAAUAUAUAUCUCUCCCACUUGUCCCUGCACUCUUUUUUAUAUCCUUUCAAACAUUGCAAAGCUGACCUUUUAGCCUCACCUCAAAUGAACUGGGAUUUAAGUCAUGUGAUAGAUUUACUAUUAUUCCAGUUUUGUAAUAUCUAAAUUUCUACUAAAUUUCUUGUAUCCAUCUUUCACCUAAUUGUGGCUAUAUGUUGAAAAAGAACAGCUGCACUGAUAAUGCUUACUCUGUAAUGCCCUUCACUUUUUGGACAAGUCUGUAUCUCCUUUUCACUUGUAAAUAAACUCUCCGUAAUGGACAUUUCCACAGCAAAAAUAUCCUUUUAUUUCUGUGAGAAACAGAUUUUCACCACCCUUUUUGGGCAGGAUGAGGUUGUGAUCUCUUGAGGCUGUUCCAGACAAGGCAUUUAUAACUCAACUUUUCCUUUUCUGUUGCCUGUUGAAGCUCAUGGGAUUUGCCAGGAGUCAAUGGAUGGUCUAGUGCUGUACCACUUCUCUGUUUCAUCAUUGGGCUUGCUCUCUUUUGUCACUUGUAAGGGCCCAACAAGCAUCCAUUAUUGCUCAGUGAAGUUUCCUGUGCUGAAAUUCUAAAAUGCCUGAUGGUAAGAAACUUCCAUCUCCCAGAAUAAAAUGGAGCUGCAGAUAUGCCAAGGACCUUGGCAGGAUGGCAGAGAUUCCGAACGUUAGGAGGAAAAACAGUAUGAAGCAAGAUUAGAUGAGCAUCAUUUACACAUUGAAGAAAACUCCCAAAAGAUCAGUGUAGAACUUGACACAAAUGUUCUUCAAGUAAAGUUAGAAUUUAUCCAUCUUCAUGCAUGCCUGGAUGUGAAAAACUGCAAUGAGAGGAGCUGUUAAAAUCUUACUAUGUUUAUGAUGCACCAGUAUAUAACAACUGGAGAAGACAGAACAAGGAAUCUAAACACAUAUAUAUUUACCCGUUUCAAGCAAUUUUCAGUUCAGAAUAUGUGAUGCUGACACGGGAAGAAACCACACCAUUGCUACUUCUGUUUGGUCAAUUAUUUGUUCAUUGUGUGAUAAAAAGCAAGGCUGGGUAUCAACUCUCACACAGAAAAAGAAAGGCAUUGUGUUUGGCCACAGACAACUUCUAAAAAUAAGCCUGGCAAAAAUGAAGAAGAGCCCAGUUGAAUCAUUCAUAGUCCAGAGAGCAUAUGACAUGGGCAAGAUGUCCACUUAGAUUUCAUCUUUGGUAACUUUCUGGAUCCCUUCCAAUUUGGCUUCCAGCCAAGAUAACCAAGGCAUAGGAACUCAAGACCAUAUCAGUUUGCCCUGGUAAACAAUCUACUUCUGAAGACAGACAGGAGAAAUGCUGCAGAAUUUGCAUGGUUCUGAAAGUUACUUUGGAUACUGUGGAUCAUAACCCUUUGCUCCACCACAUAUAAUACACUAGU
This is a non-coding RNA of Pogona vitticeps (central bearded dragon), 1946 nucleotides long. NCBI's taxonomy places the organism in Eukaryota, Metazoa, Chordata, Lepidosauria, Squamata, Agamidae. The record is from RefSeq and is a predicted model, not a curated record.